RNAcentral lists this ribosomal RNA (554 nucleotides) under Tulasnella ellipsoidea. RNAcentral describes it as "eukaryotic LSU rRNA". It matches the Rfam family "Eukaryotic large subunit ribosomal RNA", at positions 66 to 649 of the family's 3401-position model. The record is from RNAcentral. Lineage: Eukaryota; Fungi; Basidiomycota; Agaricomycetes; Cantharellales; Tulasnellaceae.
UAACCAGGAUUCCCUCAGUAACUGCGAGUGAAGCGGGACCGGCUCAAUGUGUGAAUCUGGCUUGGGGUAGAUCCCUGGUCCGAGUUGUGCACUAUGGACGUUUCGUCUGCGUUUGUAAUGGCGGUGGAAGUCCGUUGAAACACGGCACCUCAGAGGGUCACAGUCCUGUACCACCUGCCUGCACUCGCGCCAAUGACAAGCGCUCCUCGAGUCGCGUAGUUUUGUAAUGCUGCGCCAAGUGGGAGGUAGAGACCUUCUAAGGCUAAAUAUGAUGACGUGACCGAUAGCACACAAGUACCGCGAGGGAAAGGUGAAAAGCAACCAUGAAAAAUGGGUUGAAACAGUAGUGAAAGCGCUACCGGGAUAAGGGCUAUCGGGUGCUGGGGCUUCUUGGGUGUGCUUCAGUGCUACCCUUGGAGACGGCCCGCGUGGGUUGAUGUUGGGGCGAUAGACGCGCCGUUGGAAUUCAGCUGUCUUCGGGCAGUGUUGUAGCCUUCGGUUGCCGAUCCUCCUGCGACCUUUUGUAAUUGCGGGUCUUGCGACCGUUAGCCGCC